AGGGAAAGAGGGAGGCAUGCUUUACACAUGCAAGUCGAACGGUAACAACACUUCGGUGGCUGAAGACAGACGCAAGGGUACAUAAUACAUCGGAACGUGCCUAGCACUGGGGGAUAACUACUCGAAAGAGUAGCUAAUACCGCAUGAGAUCUAAGGAUGAAAGCAGGGGACCUUCGGGCCUUGCGCUACUAGAGCGGCUGAUGGCAGAUUAGGUAGUUGGUGGGAUAAAAGCUUACCAAGCCGACGAUCUGUAGCUGGUCUGAGAGGACGACCAGCCACACUGGGACUGAGACACGGCCCAGACUCCUACGGGAGGCAGCAGUGGGGAAUUUUGGACAAUGGGCGCAAGCCUGAUCCAGCAAUGCCGCGUGCAGGAUGAAGGCCUUCGGGUUGUAAACUGCUUUUGUACGGAACUAAAAGCCCUCUUCUAAUACAGGAGGGCCAUGACGGUACCGUAAGAAUAAGCACCGGCUAACUACGUG
This 482-nucleotide ribosomal RNA is filed under the name uncultured bacterium. RNAcentral's name for it is "partial 16S ribosomal RNA". It matches the Rfam family "Bacterial small subunit ribosomal RNA", at positions 31 to 507 of the family's 1533-position model. The record is from RNAcentral.